This 432-nucleotide ribosomal RNA is filed under the name uncultured bacterium. RNAcentral's name for it is "partial 16S ribosomal RNA". It matches the Rfam family "Bacterial small subunit ribosomal RNA", at positions 29 to 507 of the family's 1533-position model. The record is from RNAcentral.
ACGAACGCUGGCGGCAUGCCUCACACAUGCCAGUCGCACGAGACCUUCGGGUCUAGUGGCGCCCGGGUGCGUAACGCGUGGGAACCUGCCCUUAGGUUCGGAAUAACUCCCCGAAAGGGGUGCUAAUACCGGAUAAUGUCUUCGGACCAAAGAUUUAUCGCCUUUGGAUGGGCCCGCGUUGGAUUAGCUAGUUGGUAGGGUAAAAGCCUACCAAGGCGACGAUCCAUAGCUGGUCUGAGAGGAUGAUCAGCCACACUGGGACUGAGACACGGCCCAGACUCCUACGGGAGGCAGCAGUGGGGAAUAUUGGACAAUGGGCGAAAGCCUGAUCCAGCAAUGCCGCGUGAGUGAUGAAGGCCUUAGGGUUGUAAAGCUCUUUUACCCGGGAUGAUAAUGACAGUACCGGGAGAAUAAGCUCCGGCUAACUCCGUG